RNAcentral lists this ribosomal RNA (526 nucleotides) under uncultured Rhodobacterales bacterium. Its description in RNAcentral is "bacterial SSU rRNA". It matches the Rfam family "Bacterial small subunit ribosomal RNA", at positions 65 to 639 of the family's 1533-position model. Lineage: Bacteria; Pseudomonadati; Pseudomonadota; Alphaproteobacteria; Rhodobacterales. The record is from RNAcentral.
AGCGCGCCUUCGGGCGAGCGGCGGACGGGUUAGUAACGCGUGGGAACGUGCCCAGAUCUACGAAAUAGCCACUGGAAACGGUGAGUAAUACCGUAUACGCCCUUUGGGGGAAAGAUUUAUCGGAGAAGGAUCGGCCCGCGUUAGAUUAGGUAGUUGGUGGGGUAACGGCCUACCAAGCCUACGAUCUAUAGCUGGUUUUAGAGGAUGAUCAGCAACACUGGGACUGAGACACGGCCCAGACUCCUACGGGAGGCAGCAGUGGGGAAUCUUGGACAAUGGGGGCAACCCUGAUCCAGCCAUGCCGCGUGAGUGAAGAAGGCCCUAGGGUCGUAAAACUCUUUCGCCUGUGAUGAUAAUGACAGUAGCAGGUAAAGAAACCCCGGCUAACUCCGUGCCAGCAGCCGCGGUAAUACGGAGGGGGUUAGCGUUGUUCGGAAUUACUGGGCGUAAAGCGCACGUAGGCGGAUUAGAAAGUUAGAGGUGAAAUCCCGGGGCUCAACCCCGGAACUGCCUUUAAAACUACUAG